Molecule: unclassified non-coding RNA, 1697 nt
Filed under: Hevea brasiliensis (rubber tree)
Lineage: Eukaryota; Viridiplantae; Streptophyta; Magnoliopsida; Malpighiales; Euphorbiaceae
Source: RNAcentral
UUGGGUUUAUUUUUUGCACACUAUGACUUGUGUAUAACAUUCCCUCACAUCAAACUUACACCCAUUAUUCAAACCAUACUUUCCAAAUUAUAGGUACAUCAAAAAGACUUGUGUAAAAAAAAUUCACAGAAUUUUCACCAAAUAAAAGCAUUAUCAUCUGACUAUGAUGCUCCGGACGUGCUUCUAUUCUUGCAAAUCAUGAAAAUAGAAAAACAAAAGUUUUGUAUAAGAGAGCAAUGACUAGCACAAACAGGAUUUGAUCCCUAAUGGAGAUUGUGUUACAAUUUUUGUUGGAAUUAGGGUCAAAAUUUAAAGACAAGCACUUGAGCUCUAUAGAAAGAGGAGCUUGGCUUCCUUGGAAGUGAGGCACACAUAUUACUUCCUCACAGACACAUAUGAAAUCCCCCAUGCUCCAUUCCUGUGUCAUGAGAGCAAAAUUAUUUACAUUUUGCAAGAACGUUUCCUUUUUCCAUCACCAUCAUGGAUGCACCACAAGAGAUCACAACGCAAAUAUGCAAUUCAAAACUAGUGAUAAUGUGAUAUGCAUAUGCAACCCUACAAAUAAGAAGACUAAAAGGAGUAAUAGAGGAACAAUAAAACCUGAGAUACCUCAAUAUGGUGUCCUACAAUGACCACAAUGGUGUCUGGCCCUGCAUCGAAAGACAAAGGACCUUGCGCUGACCGGAGAAGAAAUUGAGAUGUUGUUGCAGGAAGGUGAAGGCAGAAAGUAUAAUCACAAGUUUUGCUGUUUCUCUCAUUAGAGGAAGACGGAUUUCGUAGCAUAUUAUCACUGUGGUUAUAUCUAUAUAAACUGAGGACAGACUCUUUCCCUUGGAUUCUCUUUCCAAAUUGCAUUCUAGCUAUGUUUUCGACAAAAAUAUUACCUAAAAGCUCUGCAAUCGCAUCAAGUUUGCUAGCAAUAUUCUCCAUCUUUUCACUAAAAUCCCGAUAUCUUCCGGGCACGAAGUAGUCUGGCUCGCAUUUCAUUCUUCCUUUCCUGGAACGAACCCACGCAAUCUGCUCCUUGUUCUUUUUACGCUCAGAGGACUUCCCUCGAAAUCCUAUAUCUGCAUGCUCUAAAUCGAGGAAAACCCGAUCGGCUUCAUGGACCAACAAUCGCAACUCGUCACCAAAAAUCCCAUGGCAGGUGAUCCUGAAAGCGCCGAAUUCCCUAGCGGACCUCAAGAGGCUAUCAAUGGUCUCAUAAUCACUCAAUUCUAAGGAUGGGUAAUAAAUUUCUGCGGGAAUCUGAUGAGUGUCAUUGAGCGGAAGGUGAGGAUCAGGGAGGGAAAGAUCAGGAACAUUCAAGGACUUGGCAAGGUAGUCACACAAGUUCUCAUUGGCUGCGGAGCGCAAUCCUUUUCCUGUGGGGAUCGGAGAUGGGGGUGGAGCAGAGAUGUGUGAUUCACUACCACUGCGUAGAAGGGACAUGGCUGCGUACUUGCGUUACGUAUUGUGAGAUGGAGGAAGAAGGAUGAGAGGAGAAGGAGAAGGUGGUGGGCCUGCUUAAUUUUUGUAAAGGCAAGCUUUGGAUUCAAACAUAAAUGGGCCCAUUGGGCAUGCACGUUGGGCUACGCAUGCCAUUGAGAUCGAGGCACGUUGCCAUUCUUGCUUUCCAAUAAUCUUGGUCAAUUGUAAAAGAGAGAUGCUGUGUCCAGGAUGGGGACAGUGGCUUAUUUGAUUCAACAAAACCCAAA